Small nuclear RNA from Manis pentadactyla (Chinese pangolin), 108 nucleotides. Lineage: Eukaryota; Metazoa; Chordata; Mammalia; Pholidota; Manidae. The record is from RefSeq and is a predicted model, not a curated record.
GUGCUUGCUUUGGCAGCACAUAUACUAAAAUUGGAAUGAUAUAGAGAAGAUUAGCAUGGCCCCUAAAAAAAAAAAGGAUGAAUGCAGCAAGAACUUCAAAAAAGAGAU